GCAGCCACUCAUUCAAAGAGUGCGUAAUAGCUCACUGGUCGAGUGAUCCUGCGCCGAAGAUUUCCGGGGCUAAAACUUACUACCGAAGCUACGGCAUCAGUAAUGAUGGGUAGGGGAGCUUCCCAUACGGGUUGAAGCAUGACCGUAAGGACAUGUGGACAGUAUGGGAGUGAGAAUGUUGGCAUGAGUAGCGAGAUGUGGGUGAGAAUCCCACAGGCCGUAAACCCAAGGUUUCCAGGGGAAGGUUCGUCCGCCCUGGGUUAGUCGGGACCUAAGCUGAGGCCGAAAGGCGUAGGUGAUGGACAACAGGUUGAUAUUCCUGUACUACCGAUAACCGUUUGAGAGAAGGGAUGACACAGUAGGAUAAGCUAAGCACACUGUUGGUUAUGUGUGCCCAAGCAUUGAGGCAGUCAAAGUAGGCAAAUCCGCUUUGAUAAUGCUGGGAUGUGAUGGGGAGCGAAAUUUAGUAGCGAAGUAGCUGAUUUCACACUGUCAAGAAAAGUCUCUAUCGAGGUUAAAGGUACCCGUACCGCAAACCGACACAGGUGGGUGAGGAGAGUAUCCUAAGGCCAGCGAGAGAACUGUUGUUAAGGAACUCGGCAAAAUGACCCCGUAACUUAGGGAUAAGGGGUGCCACCAUCAGGUGGCCGCAGAGAAUAGGCCCAAGCGACUGUUUACCAAAAACAUAGGUUUCUGCUAAGUCGCAAGACGAUGUAUAGGAGCUGACGCCUGCCCGGUGCUGGAAGGUUAAGGGGAUCUGUUAGAGCAAUCGAAGCAGUGAACUUAAGCCCCAGUAAACGGCGGCCGUAACUAUAACGGUCCUAAGGUAGCGAAAUUCCUUGUCGGGUAAGUUCCGACCCGCACGAAAGGCGUAACGAUUUGGGCACUGUCUCAACAACAGACUCGGUGAAAUUGUAAUUCCGGUGAAGAUGCCGGAUACCUGCGACAGGACGGAAAGACCCCAUGGAGCUUUACUGUAGCUUGACAUUGGGUCUUGGUACUACAUGUACAGGAUAGGUGGGAGGCUUUGAAACCAGGACGCCAGUUUUGGCGGAGCCAUCCUUGGGAUACCACCCUUGUAGUACUGGGACUCUAACCAUAGGCCAUGAAUCUGGUCUUGGGACACUGUCA
RNAcentral lists this ribosomal RNA (1131 nucleotides) under Clostridioides difficile. RNAcentral describes it as "bacterial LSU rRNA". It matches the Rfam family "Bacterial large subunit ribosomal RNA", at positions 1112 to 2259 of the family's 2925-position model. Lineage: Bacteria; Bacillati; Bacillota; Clostridia; Peptostreptococcales; Peptostreptococcaceae. The record is from RNAcentral.